UUCUUUUUCAGGAUUACUUUGGCGCUACGGGGUCUUGAUUCCGGACUUCUGUGGAUUCCCUCUCAUUUGGUAAAGCCUUCCCAUGGUGUCAUGGAGACCCCCAGGACAUCUUCCAGUGAACCAGCACAUCCAGAGAAUGACUGAGUGAGCGGCAUUCGGCCCCCUUCUUCAAGAUGGAAGAAGCCUCUUCAUGGACUCCUUAUCCUGAAGCUACUCCACCAAUGAAAGUCCUUGCCCCUGAUAUGACUGAUAUGACCAGGCCAGCAUCCUCUUUACAACACAAUGAUAUCACAUAUACCCCUAAUUCACAUCUGAUGGCCAUGAUUUCUGUCAUUAACCAAAACUUUGAUAUGUGUAACCCCGAUUACAUUCCCUUCCCUCAUUUGUCAGGCCAAGCUCAAUAUUUAUACUGUGCUCAUCUCAACCUACCUAUAUCUGAUAGCUUAACAUACCUGGGAUAUUCCUAUUAAUAAUUAGGACAGAGUUCAUUGAAGGAGCCAAUCUUAACCUGCCCUUCCAAACUGAACAAGAACAUUGGCUUUAUAGGCCAAGACUCAAUGGUGGCUUACCUUCUAUGUGUGUUACAAAACUCAGCAACUUAUCUACUUGCCUUAAACUAAAAAACAACUGGCUUUUACAUGGAAAGCCCAAAACCUCUACAAGGUCGGACAAUCAUACCUUCUUCUCAGCCACAAGCUUUGCCAUACCUGGAAAAACAAGCAUAUCUCAUACUCCCAAUGUUAGAACUUGCUCUAGUCUCAAAUAUUAAGAUCACCUCUGGAACAUUAUUCCCUGGACAACCUGUUAUGGGGAAACUGAGCAUAAUCUUCACUGCUGAAAUUGGACUAUUACUGACAGGGGCCCUAGAGGACAUCUUAAAACAAAAUAUUCUAAUAAGACCAUAUCCUUUGACCAGUUUAGUAGGGAGAAUUGUUUCUGGAAAGAUGGAGGCUUGUCUGGCCCUCUAAUUUCUGCACAUAAAGGGAAAUUAAAAGGACCUUGUUUAUCUCUGGAAGCUAAGCUUUCCCUUCUUCACGCUUAUUAUUAACCACAGUGAAAACUAUGUAAAAUGACAUAUUAACCUAACUUGGACCUCCCUGUACAAUACCUAAUUUGCUGGACCACUGUUUGUGUGCCUUCUCCCUACGUUCUCUUUGCUACCUCCACUUUACAGAUAAAACAACUAGAAAAUAAUUAUGAAAUCUAUACCUCCCUGGGCUGGUUUUUGUCCUGUGAAAGUAAUGAUAACAUCACCCAAUUACCACCCAAUUAAAUAUCUCCUCCUUGUUAGUACUUAGACUUUGCAUUUCAGCCUGGGCUCCUGUUAAUCUCUGUAAGCACUAUAUGCAUCCAUUGGGACUAGGUGUGCUUUUCAAGCUUACUGGUACUCUACUACAAGGUCAAAAAGAUUUUUGUUGGCCUGUUCAUCAUGGGCAUCCUAGCAGUAGUAGGUGUUACCGUCUCUGCCACUGUAGCUGGAGUUAGCCUGCAUCAUACUCUCCAGAGAGCCCAUGUCCUUAAUCAAUUUAUGGUCAAUACUGCCAAAAAAUUUAUGAGUCAGACUUCCAUCGAUAAACUAGUCUUGGCCUGCCUCGAAGCUCUUGAGGCUGCAGUAGAAUUUAUUGGAAAAAGACAGGAGGCCUUGUUCCUCCACUCCAGACUGCCCUGUCACCCUAACUACCACCACAUCUGAAUGACUGGCAUUCCUUACAAUCAUUCCCAAGCUUGGGAUGCUGUCCAGACAUACCUUCACAGUGUCUUUUCUUCCUACCUCUCUGACAACAGAAAAGAUUUAGAUCUGACUUUGCGCCAAAAGCUACAAUAUGCAGAGGAUCAACUUAAAAAUGCAUAGGCUGAUUCCUGGGAAAUAGGGUAUAACCUGAAUCCUUUCUCACUUAUGGCUAGCACCCAUCUCAAAUUCUGGAUAACUCUGUGAAGCAGAAUGCUUUCACUGUGUCUCUUUUUACGUCUUUGCAGAAUCACUCUUCAGGCCACCUGAAAGCAAAAGAAUGACCAGGAGCUCAUCAUGAUGGUCCUGGAACACAAGACUAGAAGGACCAAGAGAAACAAAAAGGGGGGAAAUUGUGGGGAAUUGGCCCUGCGCAGGUAGCAAUUGGUUAACAAGGCAUAAAGAAAUAAAAAGCCAUAGAAUGGUCGCACAUGAGUUUGGGUAAACAAGAUAGAUCCCCCCCAAGAAUAUGGAAGUGCAGAACCCCAAAAAUAGAGAGGAAUGGGCAAAAGCUCCAAAAUUGGAGGGAGCACCCAGUCUCCCAAUAUAGAGGUAUAUGAGGUAAGCAAGAUUACACAUGUAGGGCAAAAAUGCCCCUCCAAUUUAAUACUAUAGCAGAAAGCUGCUUUCAUAGGAAGGAAAGACCAAAUUAGGUAAGCAGACCUCUGCACUCUGCUGCUGUGGGGCUGCAGGAGAAGCAGCCCAGAGGGGAGGUGCUUAACAAAAGGUGCCUUGUUAACCUUGAAGUGUUUUGCCGAAUCUAUCCUAUCCCCUAGGCUAGCUAAGAGAAACAGGCAAGGCGUCUCCUUUCUGCCAUUAAUGACCACUUGCCCAUCUACCAGGUGCCAGGAUUUAGUUUUAUAUUGACCCAAACCCCAAACACUGUAUAUCCUCAAAAAUCCCCUUUCCCUCAUGCGCAGGGGUUGAUGUUCACAGCUUCUUUAUCUCUUUGUGCACGCCCGUCAUGUUUGUAAGCUUUCUGAUCUUAAUAAAUAUGAGGCAAAGA
Suricata suricatta (meerkat) is the source of this 2735-nucleotide long non-coding RNA. RefSeq lists it as uncharacterized. The record is from RefSeq and is a predicted model, not a curated record. The transcript has 2 exons. NCBI's taxonomy places the organism in Eukaryota, Metazoa, Chordata, Mammalia, Carnivora, Herpestidae.